GACGAACGCUGGCGGCGUGCUUAACACAUGCAAGUCGAACGGAAAGGCCCUGCUUUUGUGGGGUGCUCGAGUGGCGAACGGGUGAGUAACACGUGAGUAACCUGCCCUUGACUUUGGGAUAACUUCAGGAAACUGGGGCUAAUACCGGAUAGGAGCUCCUGCUGCAUGGUGGGGGUUGGAAAGUUUCGGCGGUUGGGGAUGGACUCGCGGCUUAUCAGCUUGUUGGUGGGGUAGUGGCUUACCAAGGCUUUGACGGGUAGCCGGCCUGAGAGGGUGACCGGCCACAUUGGGACUGAGAUACGGCCCAGACUCCUACGGGAGGCAGCAGUGGGGAAUAUUGCACAAUGGGCGGAAGCCUGAUGCAGCAACGCCGCGUGCGGGAUGACGGCCUUCGGGUUGUAAACCGCUUUCGCCCGUGACGAAGCGUGAGUGACGGUAAUGGGUAAAGAAGCACCGGCUAACUACGUGCCAGCAGCCGCGGUGAUACGUAGGGUGCGAGCGUUGUCCGGAUUUAUUGGGCGUAAAGGGCUCGUAGGUGGUUGAUCGCGUCGGAAGUGUAAUCUUGGGGCUUAACCCUGAGCGUGCUUUCGAUACGGGUUGACUUGAGGAAGGUAGGGGAGAAUGGAAUUCCUGGUGGAGCGGUGGAAUGCGCAGAUAUCAGGAGGAACACCAGUGGCGAAGGCGGUUCUCUGGGCCUUUCCUGACGCUGAGGAGCGAAAGCGUGGGGAGCGAACAGGCUUAGAUACCCUGGUAGUCCACGCUGUAAACGGUGGGUACUAGGUGUGGGGUCCAUUCCACGGGUUCCGUGCCGUAGCUAACGCUUUAAGUACCCCGCCUGGGGAGUACGGCCGCAAGGCUAAAACUCAAAGGAAUUGACGGGGCCCCGCACAAGCGGCGGAGCAUGCGGAUUAAUUCGAUGCAACGCGUAGAACCUUACCUGGGUUUGACAUGGAUCGGGAGUGCUCAGAGAUGGGUGUGCCUCUUUUGGGGUCGGUUCACAGGUGGUGCAUGGCUGUCGUCAGCUCGUGUCGUGAGAUGUUGGGUUAAGUCCCGCAACGAGCGCAACCCUUGUUCACUGUUGCCAGCACGUUAUGGUGGGGACUCAGUAGAGACCGCCGGGGUCAACUCGGAGGAAGGUGGGGGUGACGUCAAGUCAUCAUGCCCCUUAUGUCCAGGGCUUCACGCAUGCUACAAUGGCUGGUACAGAGAGUGGCGAGCCUGUGAGGGUGAGCGAAUCUCGGAAAGCCGGUCUCAGUUCGGAUUGGGGUCUGCAACUCGACCUCAUGAAGUCGGAGUCGCUAGUAAUCGCAGAUCAGCAACGCUGCGGUGAAUACGUUCCCGGG
This 1343-nucleotide ribosomal RNA is filed under the name uncultured bacterium. Its description in RNAcentral is "16S ribosomal RNA". It matches the Rfam family "Bacterial small subunit ribosomal RNA", at positions 28 to 1378 of the family's 1533-position model. The record is from RNAcentral.